UUAGACACUUGAAGCGCGAGGUCAGAGGACACCAUGAAGAGAUGUCUCAGUUAAGCGAGAGGGUCAGAGAUAUGGAGCGCCUUAUAGACCAGAAGGAGAAAGAACAGCAGCAGCUACAUGAUCAGCUGCGUGAUGGUCAGCAACAGGUCGAGACAUUUGAAGGGAAGCAAGAGAAGCAGGAGCUUGAGAUGGAAUUUCUUCAGCAGCAGCUGCGAGGAGCCAAGGAGCAGCUGAAAGAUGCCAGUUUACAAGCCCAGGAGAAGAAAGAAACAGUAGCCAUUUUUAGACAGAAGUACACAGCAGCGAUGGAGAAGGUGCACCGGGUGCAAGGGCAGGUGGAGCUUUUGGAAGAGGAACUACAGUAUUCACAGCAACAGCUCGGAGAUGCCCAAGUUGGGACUCAUUCAGUGAAAGAGGAGCUAGCCGAGAUGGAGCAGCGGUACCGGGAAAAGGUCGGCCAAUGGGAGUUCUCGCAGGAGGCUCUCGACCAGUUGACGGAUGAGCUCCAGGCCAAUCAGGAUCUAUGGAGGGAGAGUCAACAAAAAGCAGACCAUCUGAAAGGCCUGGCAGGAUCCCUGCAGGAGCAAGUGGACACACUCAAACAGCAGAAAGCGAUGUUGGAGUGUGACCUACAGCUAUAUCAACAGAGUCACUCUCAUGCUGACGAGGAGUUCCUCCGGCAGCUGAGACACCGGCAGCAGCUUCAGAAGCGCUGCACGGAGCAGGUCGAACGCCUUGCAGAGUGUGAGAAGGCGAUUCUUCAGAUGAAGUCAGAGCUGGAGAGACAAGUCCAGGAAAAAGGGGGUCUGAAGCAAAGUCUUCUCGCGUCCCACCAUACACACACGAGCGACCGAAGCCGGCUGGAACAGGAAGUUGUAUGCUUAGAGCUUGAGCUGGCUGACACCCAAAAGGUACAUGUGGCACUUCUCAGACAGUCAGAGGAGGAGCUGAAGGAGGCCGUACAAGAGGCAGCGAGAAGGAGCAGUGAGGUGGAUGUACAGCGAGGAGAGGCGGUGAGGCUUCAGGAAGAGUUACUGAAGGGGGAGGAGAAGGCGAGUAGUGCCAUCAGAGAGAAACAAAGUCUGAGCGCUCGCAUCAGACAGUUGAGCCAAGAGCUGGAGGAGCUACGCAGCAAGCUGCAAGUGACAGUGGAGGAGUUGGCAGCCCGUGCAGAGGAGGCGAGGCGGAUGGAGGGGAGCCUGAAUGAGGGAAAGCUAGCAGAGGGGAAAAUAAGGUCAAUGGCUGCGAGGAUGGAGACGGAGGUGGCAGAGCUCACGAGGAAUCUUCACCAGGCUGUCGACCACAAACUCUCGGCAGAGCGAGAGAAGCGGGAAGCGCAGGAACAAGUGGACACACUCCGGUCGGAGCUGCAGGGGACACGGUCUGACUACGCACACCUUCGCCAUGAGAGCCAGCUGGUCAUGACUAAUGUUGACCGUUGGAUCAGUGAACAAAAGGUUUCCAACGAGAGCCUCAUCGGCCGGAUGAAGGCCCGCCAGCGGGUGCUGCUCCUCGUCACUGAGGAGAAAACACAUCUUCAGGGCGCUAAUGACACGUUGAAGGCGGAGGUAAAGAGACUGAAAGAAGUGGCGCAUGAGAAAGAGAGAGACACGGAACGCUUUAAGGCCAGGAUCCGAAACCAGAGCAUCCGGCAAGACGAGAGAACAAUGGAAAAGCAGAGUUGUGUUGCUCUAAACCUCAGCAAGAUCGAGGACAUGCACAACAGACUGCGAAGCAACCUGGAGGCCAUCGGAAUGCUAAAUCAACAAUUAAACUCCCUCAGCGGGGAGAAUAAGCGGUUGUGUAGGCGGCUGCAGGAGGAGAGGUCUAUGCGUAGACAAGUGGAGCGACUGCUCCCUCCUCCGCCUCCCACCUUCCAGCAGUGCUCCUCCGUCUACCUCCCCCUCUCCCUCAGUGCCUGCCCACCUCCUCCCUCCACCUCCCUACUCUCAUCCCUCCGCCUCCCUCCUCCCUUGAGCCCGGGCACAGCGACGGGGGACAUUGAUGGGAUUCUAACCCAAACCAAGCUGAGCAGAGCCGGGCUAGAGAGACCAGCAUACAGAGUAAGAAGAUGGCGCUGGGGGUAAUCUGCGCGAGUCGGCGGUGACAAAAUGGAGGGCGUCAUCAGAGGUCGCGGCGCUGUCAUCAACCGCCAAACGUUCCGCUGAUGUCUGCCUGCCACACGCUCACGCUCGUGCAUGCAUCACACAUAUUUGCAGUGCACAGGGGACAAAGAAGGGAACAUGUAUCCGUAAUCAGGUGUGACACAUCACAGCGUAAAUGCUGCAAUCUCACCUGACAGCCACGUACACACAUGAAAUGUUUGCGUUGUGGACCACCGCGACGGAAACAGACUUUGACAGGUAUCUGAGUAUAUUCUGGGAUGCACAUAACAGCGGCUUUAAUAAAUGCAGCCGGCUUGUUUUGUUUGGGUUAUUUUCUAGUUGUUGAAUGUAUUAUGGUUUUAUAGGAUGUAGAUGUGGCAGCUUUGCAGAGAGGAGCGGACUGUGAUUUCCUUAAGCCUUCAAGUUGCACUAACAAUCAGUUUACUGAGAGAUUUUUAUCUUUUGUCAUCAUUAAUUUGUCUUUAAAUGCACAGAUCUACAAAUACUCCUUGCCCUGGAACAUGCAUGCAGGUACAAAGUUACAUGGUAUGGUAUGGCUUCUUUAACUGUCCAAUUGAAAACAUUGUUGCUUUCUUUUUCAGUGUGGUGACUCCUGCUACUUCAACCUAGUUAACGUAAAAGAUUAAAGCAAAGUUGGUAACUUUUGCUGGAUAACAGCCGCUGUACGCGUGACAAUUAUGAGACGUUCAUACUAAAUGAUAAAUGUAAAGGAGCAGUGGCACCGCAGAGUCAUGAAGUCAGCAAACUGUGGUGACUAACAUUAGCUACAGGUCAGACCAUGUACAAUAGCAACAUUAAGAAAGGAUUAGAUGUAUUGCUUUUAAUUUGUAAGAGAAAGACAGUUAUCUAAUCUUUCAAAAAGUUACAGCCUCGCUUCAAACUUUAGGAUUCUCAUAAGCAUUAAACAUGCUAAUGUUACUGGCAUGAGGUUGGAACCGACUUACUUACCGCCCUUUAUGUCUACCGGCAUGUAGGGCAGCAACAAACAAUCUACAUCGUGUCAAAAAGGGAAAAAGAUUCUCAUGUCAGAAGUUGUUGAUCAGCUCCCUGAACAAAGAACACAACUUUAGCCGUUAGCUUAAC
Cottoperca gobio is the source of this 3209-nucleotide long non-coding RNA. Ensembl annotates it as myosin-10-like. NCBI's taxonomy places the organism in Eukaryota, Metazoa, Chordata, Actinopteri, Perciformes, Bovichtidae. The record is from Ensembl.